This 454-nucleotide ribosomal RNA is filed under the name Hydrocanthus fabiennae. RNAcentral describes it as "partial 16S ribosomal RNA". It matches the Rfam family "Bacterial large subunit ribosomal RNA", at positions 1806 to 2534 of the family's 2925-position model. Lineage: Eukaryota; Metazoa; Arthropoda; Insecta; Coleoptera; Noteridae. The record is from RNAcentral.
AACAAAAACAUGUCCUUUAGGUAUUUAUUUAAGGUCUAAUCUGCCCAGUGAUUUUUUAAAUGGCCGCAGUAAUUUGACUGUGCGAAGGUAGCAUAAUCAUUAGUUUUUUAAUUGAAAGCUUGUAUGAAUGAUUGGACGAGAAAAAUACUGUCUCUUAUUAAAUUAUAUAAUUUUAUUUUUUAGUUAAAAAGCUAAAAUUUUAUUAAAAGACGAGAAGACCCUAUAAAGCUUUAUAUUCAUUGAAUUUAUUAAAUUUUGGUAAUAUUAUUUUUUUAAAUUUAUAUAAUAUUUAAUUGGGGAAAUUUAAAGAUUAAAAUAAUUCUUUAUUUUUUAUACAUAUAUAUAUGUUUAUUUGAUCCUUUAUUAAAGAUUUAAGAUUAAGUUACUUUAGGGAUAACAGCGUAAUUUUUUUGGAGAGUUCAUAUCGAUAAAAAAGUUUGCGACCUCGAUGUUG